Molecule: long non-coding RNA, 434 nt
Filed under: Cricetulus griseus (Chinese hamster)
Lineage: Eukaryota; Metazoa; Chordata; Mammalia; Rodentia; Cricetidae
Description: lncRNA (ENSCGRG00000025203.1)
Source: RNAcentral
CUUGGGGAGCCCUCCUAGUCACGGUGGGACUGUGGCUAAACUGCGCAGAAGCUGGAGGCUCAGGAAGAAAUCCCUCUUGUUCGGGAGGAUGGAAGCCUUGGUGCGCUUGUGCCUCUCUGUCGUCUCAGACCUGCACAGCCCGCUCUGUUCCCUUCCCCAUCUUCUCUCCCCGGACUUCCUUUAAUUCAGAGGGAAAGGACUACUUUUCUGCUCCAAAAUACGGGCCUUCGCUAUCAAUACUGUAACAAUGUAAAAUUUCAGGAGGAAAGACUACCAACUUUCUUAGGUGCCUCCUUUUCCCUCUACCUCGCCCCUCAAAACACGGUAUCCAUACUGAAGCUGUUCAUUUUGUUAUCGACUUCCUUAAAUUGUCAUGCUGAUGCCAGCUGUAAAGUAGAUUUGUUGGUAGCCUCUGAGUUGCUGUUGAAGCUGUG